GCUAAUGCAGAGAAGGACUCAUCUGCUGUAGCAAGAGCCAAUGCAGAGGAUCCGACCUCUCCCACCUCUCCUCUUGCUUGUGGAUGGCUAUCCUCCCACCGGAUCUGAACAUCCCUAGCUUGGAGGCUCAUGAUCUAGCCACCAAAUCCCGCCACCGCAGGAGGCCGCCCUAGCCACUGCCAUGAAGUGGAGCGGCUGCUUCGACCUUACCCCCGACAAGGCGCGAUGGUAGCGGCAAUAGCCAUGGAGCUCGAAAGGUGCCACCUCCACGCUGACGGAAGCGGCUUUCCCUUCCCAGUCAUUGGAGCGCAAUGGAGCUCAACAUGCUAAAAUCUCAGGACGCCUUUGGGACUAUGCUCUGUCAUUUAUGAUUCAAGGUGAAACCGGGUGAUUCUCCGAGGACAAGAUUGCUGAUUUUAGUGAAAUAUUCAAGGCAAUAGAAUGCAAAAAUAUUCAAGGAAUGCCGAUCUCCCUCCCCACUCGUUUCCUCCACAAAUUGAAUGCAAAAAUAGGUUCCUAUCCUCCUCCUCAUCAAUUCCCCCACGUUUUGCCCUCUUAAUUCGUCCUUUAAUCAUCAAAUUUAGUCUCCAAUGAACUGCCGCCAUUGAUGGCAGCCCGGCGAACUCUCCGGCCGUUCUCCUCCUCUCCCCGGCCAUCCGCCUCCUCCACCCCGGCCUAUAAAAAGGAGUACCGACCCCCCCCUCUCUCCCCACACUGCAGCCCUCCCCCUCCUCUCUCCCUAGCUGCCGCGUUGCCUUCUUCUCGUGUCGUCGCUGCUGUGCAACUCCGGCCGCCCCUCGCCGACAGUUGGGACCUCCUCGGAGCCCAGCAUCGCCACCAUCCGCUUCGCAGCAACCUCCUCUUCCCCAGCCUCGCCUCCGUUUCUCCUGGAGACCGCCGGAAGCUCGUCCUCGCUGGUGAGCAGUGGUGACGUCGCCUUCAUCCUCGUCCUCCGGCAGCCCUCCCUCCUCGCUGGAGGAUUGCCUCACUGCGCUGUCAAUGCUGUUGGCGUCAUCUCGUUGUCUUCAUCAUCGGUCGUGCCUCCUCGCUGCCCAAAGACUCCCGUAGCGCCGCCCCGUUGCUAUUGCCUCCCUCCUGUCGUCGUUCCCGUCAAGACGAAGUGCCGCCUGUCGUCGGUGUCAAGUCCGCAGCGCCAAGCCCGUCGUUGUCCGCCUUUUCACCAAGCUCGAGGAUUGCUGGAGCCGUCCCCUCGUCGUUGACCCGUUCCUCUCUGUCGCCCUUCGUCGCCGCGCCAAGGUUUUCGCCGGUCGCCACCGUUGUUCCCUUGCCGCGUUGUGUCCAUGGUGAGAACCUCUUCCGUCGCUACCCUAUCCUCGUCCUCCCCGUGUGGUCGCCGCGUGGAUUGCCCACGUGUGCAGCUCACGUGGUAGUCCCGGCUGCCAAUCGCUCGAUCCUUUCUUUCUUCGAGCGAUAUUUCAUUGCACAUAAUUUAAUAGUAUAAUAAUAAUAAUAAUUAAACAACUCGAAAAUAUCCACUUUAAUUGCACUUAAAAUUCGGAUGGUCGUUUCUCGGCCAUACGAGCUCCUAAUUGACCCGUCGAAAUUGUUUAAUUUUUGUUAUAGCUUGAAGAACCCGUGUUUGUUAUUUUUAUAUGUUGUUAUCGUUUCUUUCUUAGAUUUGUAGCCCUGUUUUGUUGAUCGUGUAGCUGUCGUCAUUUCGGAAGUUUCUGAAGUGCAGAUCAAGUCAUCUAAAGACCUUCUCUUUGAGCAAGGCAAGUCAUGCCAUAUUCCUUGAACAUAGUGAAUCCCAUUAUUGCAAAAACUACGUUGUUUCACUUCUAUAUGAAUCGCUUUUAUAAA
Long non-coding RNA from Oryza sativa Japonica Group (Japanese rice), 1821 nucleotides. RefSeq lists it as uncharacterized. NCBI's taxonomy places the organism in Eukaryota, Viridiplantae, Streptophyta, Magnoliopsida, Poales, Poaceae. The record is from RefSeq and is a predicted model, not a curated record.